UACGUAGGUGGCAAGCGUUGUCCGGAGUUAUUGGGCGUAAAGCGCGCGCAGGCGGUGCGGUAAGUCUAUGGUGAAAGCGCUCGGCUUAACUGGGCGAGGGCCGUGGAGACUGCCGGACUGGAGGGGAGCAGAGGCGAGUGGAAUUCCGGGUGUAGUGGUGAAAUGCGUAGAUAUCGGGAGGAACACCAGUGGCGAAGGCGGCCUUCUGGACCAGUACUGACGCUCAUGCACGAAAGCGUGGGGAGCAAACAGG
This 253-nucleotide ribosomal RNA is filed under the name uncultured bacterium. RNAcentral describes it as "partial 16S ribosomal RNA". It matches the Rfam family "Bacterial small subunit ribosomal RNA", at positions 524 to 776 of the family's 1533-position model. The record is from RNAcentral.